CGAAAAGUAGUGCCCUUGGAAGCUCUUCAUUGUAUUGUUCAUGCCUUAAACACAAUUAUUUAUUCUAUCAUUUUUCCUAAAGGCAGCACAUAUAGGACCACCGCUGGACAAAGUUUUCGCAUCCAAAUCGAUAGUCUCAUGUAAACUAAAUAUCUGUACCCACUCAAGUGUAACACACACUACAAAAAUCUCCAACCUGAAGGUCUCAGCAACAUAGUGUUAGAACUUAGAACUAUAUCUCUUGAAUGUUGAAUGCAUGUUGUCUGGCUUUAUGUUAAACUCAACCAUAAUAAGGCUA
RNAcentral lists this long non-coding RNA (298 nucleotides) under Phoenix dactylifera (date palm). RNAcentral's name for it is "long non-coding RNA (PDAC_LNC017385)". Lineage: Eukaryota; Viridiplantae; Streptophyta; Magnoliopsida; Arecales; Arecaceae. The record is from RNAcentral.